RNAcentral lists this unclassified non-coding RNA (348 nucleotides) under soil metagenome. Its description in RNAcentral is "partial contains 5.8S ribosomal RNA, internal transcribed spacer 2, and large subunit ribosomal RNA". The stretch from base 1 to 120 matches the Rfam family "5.8S ribosomal RNA", at positions 35 to 154 of the family's 154-position model. The record is from RNAcentral.
GAUGAAGAACGUAGCGAAAUGCGAUAAGUAAUGUGAAUUGCAGAAUUCAGUGAAUCAUCGAGUCUUUGAACGCACAUUGCGCCCCCUGGUAUUCCGGUGGGCAUGCCUGUCCGAGCGUCAUUGCUGCCCUCAAGCACGGCUUGUGUGUUGGGCCCCCGUCCCCGGUUUCCCCCGGGGACGGGCCCGAAAGGCAGCGGCGGCACCGCGUCCGGUCCUCGAGCGUAUGGGGCUUUGUCACCCGCUCUGUAGGCCCGGCCGGCGCCAGCCGACACCCAACUUUAUUUCUAAGGUUGACCUCGGAUCAGGUAGGGAUACCCGCUGAACUUAAGCAUAUCAAUAAGCGGAGGA